GUCGUAACAAGGUUUCCGUAGGUGAACCUGCGGAAGGAUCAUUAAUUAAAUCCAAACCUGCUCAACUAAGCCAAUCUGUUGCAGGGCGAAAGCCUCGCAGCUACAAACCUAACCAAAAGAAAGCUAACUAAGCUUCCAACUAAAACAAAAACUCUACGGUGGAUAUCUUGGUUCCUACUACGAUGAAGAACGCAGCGAAGUGCGAUAAGCAGUGCGAAUUGCAGAACCGUGAGUCAUCAGAUUUUUGAACGUAACUGACACUAGAGAGCUCUCUCUCUAGUAUGCUUCUUUCAGUGUGUUUUUCUCUCCUCACCCAAAGCUUAAUGCGAUAGAUGCCCUUCUAUUGUUAAGCUCGAAAGCACUCUGUACUCUGCAGCGGAGUCCGCAAGGAUGACGCACUCAAUGCAGUAGUCACAUUCUCAAAUGUGAACUCAUUGAGAGUAGAGUCAGCGCAUACUUGUAUGCCAGUGCUUAGAAACACAAAUUUUCUCACCACCUGAAAUGAAGUAGGAUUACCCGCUGAACUUAAGCAUAUCAUUAAGCGGAGGAAAAGAAACUAACAAGGAUUCCCCUAGUACGGGCGACGGAAGCGGGAAAAGCCCACAAUGAAAAUCUGCGUGCUUUGGCACGUCGAAUUGUACAUUGAAGAGGCGUAGUCUAACUUGAACGGACGCUCAACAGUCUGGAAAGGCUGGCCAAGGAGGGUUAUAGCCCCGUACAGUGUCCGAUCUUACCAAGGCUGCAUCUCGAAGAGUCGUGUACUUUGAUACUAGUGCACUAAGCGGGAGAUAAACUUCUUCUAAGGCUAAAUAUAAGUAGGAAACCGAUAGCGAACAAGUACUGUGAAGGAAAGAUGAAAAGCACUUUGGAAAGAGAGUUAAAAGACUUGAAACCGUAUAGUUGGACCCGGUAGAAAGGUAUUCUUGCGAAGUUCCUUGGGAAGCUGGUUUCGACCGGCCACUUGGGGACUAGCUAAGACAAGAUGGAGUCGAGAGAGGCUAAAUGCAGCUUGUCAGCUACUCCGGUGGAGGGCAGGCAUCGCUAGCCUUUCUCGGCUUGAGGGGCCUUGUGCGAUCUUGUCAAAAUGAUUUUUACCGACUCGUCUUGAAACACGAACCAAGGAGUCUAAGACUACCGCGAGUAUGGUGGUGGAAAAACCAACAUGCGUAAUGAAAGUAAAUGGUGCCAACUUUGCAGCAUCGACCGACUUUUUACUUUUGUGAGAGGUUUGAGUAAGAGCGUUAUUCUUAGGACCCGAAAGAUGGUGAACUAUGCGUGA
This 1279-nucleotide ribosomal RNA is filed under the name Cymatocylis calyciformis. RNAcentral describes it as "eukaryotic LSU rRNA". The stretch from base 493 to 1279 matches the Rfam family "Eukaryotic large subunit ribosomal RNA", at positions 1 to 840 of the family's 3401-position model. Lineage: Eukaryota; Ciliophora; Spirotrichea; Tintinnida; Ptychocylididae. The record is from RNAcentral.